GGGGCGCAGUGAGUAGAGCACUUCUAAUAAGGAAAACUGGUGUUCUAAUCAGACCUCGGACGCUUACUAAGCUCUGUGACCCUCAACCUCUAAUAAGGAUGGGAGCAGUUAGAUGGCGCAUUAACACCAACCAAUAUCAAAUCCUCAGGAAGGAUGAAAGAUACUUCUUUAGUGAUGGAGAUGAAGAAAGCUGGAACACUUCAUUAUACAAAUACCCCUUACAGCAGCCCUCUCUCCUGAGGAAGACUGAUGGUACCUGGCAACUUAUAGUGAACUGCACAAAGCUACAUGAAGUCGUCAUAAUCAUCACUACAGCUGAUCCUGACCUCAUCAAUGUUGUAGUCAGGAACAGUAUGUUUUCACCUGGGAAGGCAUCCCUUCAUCAUCCAUCACCACACCUGCCUACCUGAAAUCUCCCUCAUGCUGCCACAUCAUGGUGAGCAAAGACCUGAAAGAGGCUUCCUUUCCUGAGGGCAUUGGUUAACACCACUACAAUGAUGACAUAAUGUUAAUUGGUCUGAUAAGAACAUCUUGACAAAGGCCCUAGAUCAGUUGGUGGUUCAUAUAAAGGACAAGAGGUGGAAGUCAACUCUAGCCUACUCAGUCAAGUUUUGGGGAAUUUGGUGGAAGAGAGUAAAGUGUAAAAAGAUUGAGAAGGUAGGGAGGAACCAGGUUGUAAAGAACUUCAAGUGAUAGAGGAUUUUAGAUUUGAUCCUAGAGGUAUUAGGGAACCACUAGAGCAGGGAUGGGGAA
Non-coding RNA from Phascolarctos cinereus (koala), 753 nucleotides. The record is from RefSeq and is a predicted model, not a curated record. Lineage: Eukaryota; Metazoa; Chordata; Mammalia; Diprotodontia; Phascolarctidae.